CUGGCAGAGGUACAUCUUUUCCGAUGUUGAAUCCAUCACGGUCGUGAUGGAUUCACCAUCAAGUUUUAUUUUCGAAAACAUCCCACCCACUUUUGCCACAUCAUCUUUUGUAAAAACAAAACAUUUUGUUUUUCUAAAGCAAGGCUAAGCAUCAAAAUCUUUUGUAAAACGGGUGAUCAAGGAAGGUAAUCAAAUUCAAGGAAGGUAAUGCAUGAAUUGUUUUAUCAAUCAACUCCUAUCACCUAAUGCAGCAAGCAAGUGAGAAAGAUUUUAAAACAUCAAGGAAGGUGGCAAAUGCACCGGGGCUUGCCUUCGUUUACAGGUGAUUCGGGUUCGGAUCCACAGAUAUCGAAGUAGAAACUAUUCCCGGCCUGGGAUUCCGAAGGUGGUGGUGUCCUGUCUUCAGUGACUUCUAUCUCUUAUUCACGUUCUAAUCAUAACCAUACAUAAGUAUAAGAAUGGAUGCCAUGGGAUGCUCAUGAGGAUGCAAAGAUAGCAAAAACUUAUUAUUUAUGUCUUGAAUACAACUUUCCUUCACGGAGUUUCGGGAACUUAGGGUUUCCGGAGUCGGUAAAGGAGUUCAUAGGGCAGGGGGUGUUUUGGGGUUUGGUGAUCAAACAAGGUCCAAAUCAAUUUAAACUCUACCCAUAGCUUCUAAAUAAUGUGAAAAGCUCACAUAAAAAGUUUGGGCAAUUUUGGGAUUAUUAUCUAUUUUCUAAAAAUCCAGAACCAGUAGUUUAGGCUAUUUUAAAUACUCUAGAAUUCCCUAUUUGAUCUAAAAAUCAUGAAUUUAUUUUUAUUAAAUACUACAGGAAAUUAGGGUUCUAAGAAAAUUGGUCUCAUAUUUUUAGGAUUUUCCUACCAUUUUCUACACUUUUUCAAAGUUCUGCUGAAAAAGAAAAAGAAAAACUCUAAACAGUACUGGGCUCAAACAAGCCUGCGUCGGCCCAGUUAGGGCAGAAGUGCGCACAUGCGCGCGCCCGCGCCCGCGCGCUGGCUGUUUUGCGCAAAGGGACUUGGGGUUUGGACUAAAUAGAAGUGAGUUUGGUCACUGUUGCUCUGGGUCGCUGACUGUUUGCAGAAAAGACCUCCGAUUCCUAUUUCUUCGCAGGGAAAAGUCCACGACGUCGAGCGGCGCUGCAGAGCUCCGGCGAGCUCACGCACCGGUCGAUUUACGCAAGGACCGACGCUAAUCUUUGGUAGAGAUCAAAUCUGAGACCUAACGAGGGUUUCCCCUCAAACAAUUUCAUGAAUAGCUACCCGGUUUGCUCUGGCUACGGCGACCGUGGGCAUCGGGGAAGAACACGGGCGUUCACGGCGAUGAGCUUCAGUCAAACUCCAAAUUGUUGCGUCCAGGGGCAAUAAGAGAUCACAUACUAACUAAAACAAAGAGUAAUUUGAUCAUUACUGACCGGAGGGGCGCUGGCCACGAUGAGGUUGGAUUUCGGGUGUGCUUGAACUGAAUUGGGGCGAAUGCAAAAUUAGAGCUUGUAGGGAAUCGACUAGGAGCAAUACUUGGCGUGGGGGUGCACAAUGAUAUUGCGAAGCUAGCCACGAGCUCAAUUUAUAGGCAGCUUCGUCGGUGGCACUUGAAUUGAAGAUGGCGCGGUGGCGGCCGGAGAGGAAAAAGGCUACUGGUGCAAGUGAACUCGUGGCAACCGUCGUGGCGACAACCCCGGUGAUCGGCGGGAAGCUAAAACGAAGCGCGGCGAUGCGGUGGAGGUACUCAGAUACGUGGCGCAAGGCCGUGCGACGGUGGUUCCCCGGCGAGCUUAUCUGCUCAGCCGCAAAACAGAAAGGAGAUGGUGACGGUGAGUCACCGGAGUGACCUCCAGCCCACCGACGACAAAGAUCUUUCCUCUCGCGAUGUUAUCCACCCACCCGAGCGCGAAUCCUAACGUCGGCGACACGUAUUGUGGCGGAGGAGUGAUCGACGGCGGUGAAGUGCUCUGAACCCAAGCAGGUUACUGUACCAUCGACUAAACCAUUCAGUUGGCCUGACAGCCAAUAUUUAGGCUCGAUUUGCUCACAAAUCCCUAUGGUAACACAUUCCAUGCUCUGCAGUAAAGUUGGAGAGCUACAAAUCAGUUACAUCUUUAUUAUAGCACUCCAAGACAGAUUCUCUCUGGAUCAGGGCUAAAUUGGCUCUCAAACCUGGAUCCAAGUCACUGUCCAUCUGAAAUUCAGAUUGUAUCAGCUUGACAGUCCAACUUUGGGCUUAAUUAUCUCUGGAUUUUUCUUAACAACUGAGCUCACACUCUUUAGCAAAGUUGUUUACCUAUAAUUGGGCUACAAUUUUGAUGUGGUGACCUAGGGCACAAACCCCAUAAUUUGAAAGUUACAAGGGCAAUCACACUGAAAUGCAGACUUAACCAAAAAGGGUUAAGUAUGACUCUUUUGCACUUAAGUCCAAAUCUCAAGUUUUGGAUUGCAAAUUCACAUAUGAUUGACCCAAAUGACCUAAUAUACUUAUUUAACUUGAUUUUUGCACUUUAACCCAAAAGUGGGCUGAUUUUGCACAUAAGCCCCUAGGGUUUGGUUUUAGGGUUUUCCAGGGUUCCAAUUAGGGUUUCUGGUAUCCCAGGGGUAUAAAAGUGAUUCAAGUUUAUUCUUGGGGUCAUUUUAUGACUUUUACCCUAAAGUCUUUAGGUUUUCUCAACUUGGGUUAAGUUUCACCCCUUUAACCACUGUUUAGGGUUAAGUCCUUUAACCAGGGUUCUAUUUGCAAAAACAUUAAAACAAUACAACUUGUUUGAAAUUUUUGCCUAGUGAAUGCACUCUAGGUGUGUCAAACAUAUGCAAUGCCAAUGCUCAUGAUGUCAUGCUCAAGUUUUAGUUAUAGUAACACCAGGGGUGUUACAUCCUUCCCUCCAUAAAAGAAUCUCGUCCCGAGAUUAAAAAUCCUAGGGUAGGUAAUGGUAAAGGAAACACAUCACAUUUUUAUUUCCCAAAUUCUGGUACAAGGCAAGGGUGAUGUGGGGGUCACUUCUUUAUUACACAGCUAUACAGACUUUACAAUUUACAUGAGGCUAGAAAGCCUGGGAAAUUCUUAUUCAAGAAGUCUUGAGUUUCCCAUGUAGCCUCAUCUUCAGAAUGCUGGUUCCACUGUAUCAUGUAAAACUUGAGAGUUUUUCUCCGGGUAACCCUGUCCUUUUGAUCCAGAACUCGAAUAGGAUGUUCUGAGUAUGUUAAAUCUGGUUCCAGGACAACAUCAGUCACUUCAACGGUUCGAUCGGGAACCCGAAGACACUUCUUCAAUUGUGACACGUGGAACACAUUAUGCACAACAGACAAUGUUUUGGGUAGUUGAAAUCGGUACGCCACUGGUCCACAUUGCUCAAUCACCAGGAAUGGACCAAUGUACCUGGGUGCAAGUUUACCUUUAACCCUGAAACGCGAUACACCCUUCAUUGGUGAAACUUUUAGGUAAACAUAGUCUCCUUCCAGGAAAUAUAAGGGCCUUCGCCGUUUGUCUGCAUAACUCUUUUGUCGAGUUUGAGCUUUCUUCAUAUUAUGAAUAAUUCUCUGAACCUUUUUCUUCGACCUCUUUCACCAUAUCAGGCCUAAAGAAGUAUCUUUCUCCAGGUUCAGACCAAUUUAGCGGAGUUCGACACCAUCGCCCAUAUAAAACUUCAAAAGGUGCCAUCUUGAUACUUUCUUGAUAGCUAUCAUUAUAUGAAAACUCUGCUAAGGGCAAACAUUCAUCCCAUCUUUGUGGGAAUUCCAGAACACAUGCCCGUAGCAUAUCUUCCAGUACUUGGUUUACUCUCUCAGUCUGCCCACUGGUUUGAAGAUGAUAGGCCGAACUGUGGAGCAACUUAGUACCCAGGGAUUUAUGAAGUUCUUCCCAAAAUUUGGAUACGAAUUGCGAUCCACGAUCCGACACUAUGGUUUUCGGAACACCGUGAAGACUAAGAAGACGAGCAAUAUACAAUUGGGCAUAGACAGUAACUGGGUGAUCGGUCUUGACUGGCAGAAAAUGAGAAAUUUUCGUAAACCGAUCAACAAUAACCCAGAUAGAGUCAUACCCUUUUGUAGUCCUGGGUAAUCCCAUGAUGAAGUCCAUACAAUAUUUUCCCCUUUCCAUGUUGGGAUAGGUAAGGAUUGUAAUGGACCAGCAGUCUUCAAAUAUAUGGCCUUGACACGUUUACAAGUGUCACAUCAAGCCCCAUAGUGUGCAAUUUCAAUUUGCAUCUUUGCCCACCAGAAGAACACAUAAGGUUCCAUGUGUGCAACUUGCUUUUUCUGAUGACACUGUACUAUCUGAGUCUGUUGGGUGGCAAUUAUGCAACUUUACCCAAAUAGAAUCAGAUGCACCAUCUUGGGUAAAACACACAAGAAUAGGUUUACCAACAAGUGGUUACAGUAAGUUUAUAGCACACGAGACGGGUGUGAAUGUCGAAUAACACCACAGUUGACCCGUGGCUAAACAGAAAAUCCAAGUCCCAAAAAGGUGACAUAGAUUCGAGAGAAUCAUCAGCGGAGGGAUCUAAAAAUGCGGACUUUGCAACCAGUCCAUUUUAUCCAGCACUAGUCAUGGAUCGGCAUGAUCACACAUGCAGGAAAAACACGCGUGAGUCGAUCGAGGCACGACUAGAGCGAUGAUUAGGUGGUUAUUGGCUGACUUAAUCUCAUUUUGGUAAGCACUCUCUUUAGGGUGGGUUGAACCAAAGCGAGUUUAGACAUCUCGAUAAAACGAUCUCUAAACUCAGUCUUCGUUCAUUGGGCAAUUACAAGUUAGUCAAAACCAACUUGUUGAACUACUUUUGACAUUGAGCAAGUUCUCUUAGUACCUUCGGUAAGCCAAGGGUUGAGAGUUCAAUUUGCACGCAAAAGGUCAUGCAUUUGGGUAGAAAUCCAUUUGGUCAGGUUGUUCAUCCGUUUCUUCAAGCGAGAUGAAUUAUCCACUUGGUUAGGGAAUACAUGGAUUAAUUAGGAAAGCGAAUGAACAAACUCCUGCAUUCCAGCAGCAGGGAAAACCAGUCUUCAUUUUGGGAGCUAAUCAGUUGUUUUCCAACACUAAAAAGCUCCAAGGCUUCACCUUUACACAAAGGAUGCAAAGGGAACUUGUGUGAGUAGUCACUACCAAGAUCAAAAGAAAUAAGACCACACAUGAAAGUGGUAUGCCCUUUUGAUCCAAUGGAAAUGACAGAUGUUGCUUGAUCUCUUCACAAACAACAUAGAAAUUGUUUUAAGGAAAGGUCAAUGGGAGAUAACACAUCAGUGUAAUUCCAUAAUGGAUCAUGACUAGAGACCUCGAUACCGACAUGCGCCAAGCAGCAAAAUCCUGGGUGAGGUUCGCAGCUUCACCGCGGUACCAUAAGUCCUUAACCAUGACACCAUUACAAAACUGGUACCAAUAAUGAAUCUCACGUGGUAAAAAUAAUUUGUGUAGAGAUAACAUAUCACUAUAGUCUUAUAAUAGAUUAUGACUACUAACGGUGAUACCAGCGUGCAUCGAGCAGCACAACCAUGUGUAUGCAUCCACAGGAGGCCCUCGGUUUUAUCGCAGUAUCAUCAAUUAAAGUCAUAACACCAUUACUCGACAUAACCAAUAAGAAAUCUCGUGUAACACUAAUGAAUUGGGUAAGGGUGACAAUAUACAAAGAGAUACUCUACCAGUAAAGAUGGUUACAAGUAGAGAGCAAAAUAGAUCAUGGCCCAAAGAAGUGAACAAGGCAUGGCCAUAACCUAAACUUGAUGAAAGGAGUAUGAUGGGAGACUGUUAAUUCAGCCCAAGCAUAUUUCUAUGCCCAUCAUAGAAAUCACAAGGUCAAGGAUUAAGUUGGUAGGCCUUCGAUAGAUAUAAAGGAACCAAAGGCACCAAACUCAAGGAAAUGGUCGGACAUGUCUUUUCUAGGUUGGGUUGAUAGAGCAACACGACGAUCCGCAAGGAGAGGCCAAAUACAGUAGAGACUUCAACCUAUUAUACAACAGUACACCCUACAAUACACUACUCUACUUUUAUUACACCAUUAUUCCUGCUUUCCAUUAGUCUUGGCGGCCUCAUCGUCAGGUGUGGGAGUCCAGACAUCAACCAACCUCAAAGAAGGAGGGGGCUCAAAAAGGUCUAACUCCCCACCCAGCGCACGUCCCACAACGUGAGAUGGUCCGGCUUCUGCCUCAGCAGGUUGUGCAGGCUCACUUGGGUGUAAUUGUGAGUAUAAUAUAUAUGGACUUCCUCGUGCAAUGUAUUGCAGUAAACCUGCAGGUUAUCAACCGUUGAGCUAAGUUCUUUAAUUCGGGCCUGAGCCCUUGCUUCCUUAGCACACAUUAGCAAACGAGACUGUACGGCCCAGUCAAGUGCUAAGUCUCGAUCAGCGAGCUGAUCCUGCAGAUGUCGGAUGUCCCUUCUCAGUUCAUUGAUUCUAUCUCCGUCGGCGACCCAAGCAUCGGUCCUAUGUUGCAGCGCUGCUUGAAGUCGACUCACACGGGUUUCAAGAUCUCCGAUGGGGUCAUUACUUCCACUGCUGCUGCUUUCAUGUCGGGGAGCCAAUUGAUGCCGAGGCACCCCAAUUGGUCCCGUAGACUUGCGUGCCGUUAGCCUGGUGCGUGGCGGCAUCUUUCUAAGGGGGAAAAUGUUAUUAGUAUAGUGCUUAGCAUGAUGCAUGUAUAAUUACAGAAUCAACCUUAGUCGAUUCAACCUUCUAUACGUUGCACUCUUCCUAUCUGGUCUUUAAGAUAGACUCUUCAGAAUACUUAGGUAAGAAGAGAAAAGAAUUUUUAGGUAAGACUUUUGAAAAUCCUUUUGAAGAUGCCUCAUAAUAUCUGCCAAGAAGGGCUACGCUCCGAUACCAGCUGUGACGGAACCUCCCAAGUAAUUAGGCCCACCUACAGUUGUCCUUGUCCAACAGACAUCAGACACCCUGUAGAUGUUCCUAAGUCACUUGAUAAGUUCGGUAUCCUUCCUUACCUUACCAGGAACGUUUCACCCGUCUUGCAGACAUUACAGAACAUCGGAGAUAAAGAAAUGCGGAAGCGAUUACAUAAAUUACAUUUAUUUCAAAAGCAAGCUUGAGUUAUUUUAUUACAGACCAGACUAAAAGUGAGUGCAGAGUAGUAAUAUUAUACAAACCAAGGGAGGCACAAACUCCUCCCGAUAAGAUAUAAGCAAAAGAUCCUAAGUGGAGGACCGAGUCCUCCCGCACUUCAGUCUUGUUUUUCUUCUUUUGGAACCACCUUGGCACAGAAGCAGCAAAAGUCUGCUACUUCCUCACCUAAAAACAACGAAGGGAUGAACCCUAAGUAUGGAAUUACUCAGCAAGUCUUACCCGACUAAAGAAAAGACUCUCAAGGGUAUGCUGGUUAUAUGGGAGUCAAGGUAAGGCUUUUCAAUAUUCAAAGACUCUGUUUUGCAGAAAUGCUUACUAAAGUGGAUCCUUAAAAAAAUCCAAUUUUAUUUGUCAAGUUAAGUAAAAUUACCUGCACUAGAGUUCUUUCUACCCUAGUUCAAUCACUGGUCCUGUACUAGCCAAUUUCUCAACAAAAACCCUUUAUCUUUAGUGGAAUGCUACGUGUAAGUCAGUGGCCAAGUCUCCAUAACCGCGGAGGUACGGCGAUCCGAAUCGAUUAUACUCAGCUGAGGAUCUCCAAUCACACGACAUAUGUAGCACUUAACCCUUGCAUAUGUCAACCCGCCACCGGGGUUCUUAAGACCGGAUCAGGUUCACGCAAACCGAGAGCACAGAUACACCACCGUCCAGCCUCUUGCCACGGAGGGUACACGCUACUCUCGCCACCGCUCCACGCCCAUUUCGUGUUAUCUUAUUCCGGCCUUAGUCUACCCGAGGCAAGGCUUACCCAUGACGAGGCAUGUGACCAGUUAAAGGGUCCUCGGUCAGCAGGCCUACAUCGACAAGGUCCUUAAUCGACUCAGACGGAGACACUACACCGAGACUCUCUUCUCGUGCAAGUCACCCGCCCGGUCUCAGCUUAAUCAUUUAACCCAAAACUUGGUACCUGGCAGAGGUACAUCUUUUCCGAUGUUGAAUCCAUCACGGCCGUGAUGGAUUCACCAUCAAGUUUUAUUUUCGAAAACAUCCCACCCACUUUUGCCACAUCAUCUUUUGUAAAAACAAAACAUUUUGUUUUUCUAAAGCAAGGCUAAGCAUCAAAAUCUUUUGUAAAACGUGUGAUCAAGGAAGGUAAUCAAAUUCAAGGAAGGUAAUGCAGGAAUUGUUUUAUCAAUCAACUCCUAUCACCUAAUGCAGCAAGCAAGUGAGAAAGAUUUUAAAACAUCAAGGAAGGUGGCAAAUGCACCGGGGCUUGCCU
This 8271-nucleotide long non-coding RNA is filed under the name Zea mays. RNAcentral's name for it is "long non-coding RNA (ZMAY_LNC000085)". Lineage: Eukaryota; Viridiplantae; Streptophyta; Magnoliopsida; Poales; Poaceae. The record is from RNAcentral.